GUGGAGUGAUCUGUCUGCUUAAUUGCGUUUCACUAAGGGCCCAUAAAUUCAAGGUAUGUUAGCAAAUGCUGCUCUAUUGACCCCUAAUAGGCUUAACUGUCUUUAGCGCGUGUCUCUACGAGUUCUUUAAAGCACUGCGCAUGCUGUUGGGUCCUGAAAGCAACGAACGUGACCGCAACGUCUUGUUGCCUCUCUAUAAUACCUUCUUAUUUUUAAUAAGAGUAUUUACCUGAGGCUAUUUUAAAACUAGACGGACCGCUGUUUCUUUCUUAAACCAGAGGAAGGUUGCGGCAAUAACAGGUCUGUGAUGCCCUUAGAUGUUCCGGGCUGCACACGUGCUACAAUGAUCAGUACAGUGAGCAUCUCAAUUUUAUAACACCGUAUUAAGCGCUUGGGUCGUAAUUGUUAGGCCUUUUGGGUUUUUUCAAUUGCGUUUCUCCAAUGCGCACGGUAAAGCCUGCUUCGAGAGUAAGUGGGUAAUCCAUUGGAAGUAAUGAUUUCCUUAUUUUUAUAAACAGCACACCAAUACACGGCAUUCAUUCCCGAGACGGCUUAGUUCCGACUUUGUGCGAAUGUAAUGUAUUCUUAUCCGUAUGUGCGAUUGUCAAUUCAUGGUGGGGACAGACC
This 627-nucleotide ribosomal RNA is filed under the name Globorotalia inflata. RNAcentral's name for it is "SSU rRNA". The stretch from base 1 to 342 matches the Rfam family "Eukaryotic small subunit ribosomal RNA", at positions 1301 to 1501 of the family's 1831-position model. The record is from RNAcentral. Lineage: Eukaryota; Foraminifera; Rotaliida; Globorotaliidae.